UAAACCUUUACUUACACCCCCACCUCGCCCGGGUACUACGAGCCCAAACUUAAAACCCAAAGGACUUGACGGUGCCCCAUAUCCACCUAGAGGAGCCUGUCCUAUAAUCGAUGAUCCCCGUUAAACCUCACCACUUCUAGCCUAUCAGCCUGUAUACCUCCGUCGUCAGCUCACCGCAUGAGCGCACUAUAGUGAGCAUAAUGGCCCUCUCCAAAACGUCAGGUCAAGGUGCAGCAAAUGAAGUGGCCAGAGAUGGGCUACAUUUUCUUACACAGAAAACUACGGAAGACUAAUAUGAAACCUCGUCAGAAGGCGGAUUUAGCAGUAAAGCAGAAACCAGAAAGUUCUCUUUAACAAGGCACAGGGGCAUGUACACACCGCCCGUCGCCCUCUUCAACGAUACCCACAAAGUUAGUUACUCAACACGCACAAAAAGAAGAGGUAAGUCGUAACAUGGUAAGCAUACCGGAAGGUGUGCUUGGAA
RNAcentral lists this ribosomal RNA (484 nucleotides) under Crinia riparia (Flinders Range froglet). RNAcentral describes it as "partial 12S ribosomal RNA". It matches the Rfam family "Bacterial small subunit ribosomal RNA", at positions 801 to 1522 of the family's 1533-position model. Lineage: Eukaryota; Metazoa; Chordata; Amphibia; Anura; Myobatrachidae. The record is from RNAcentral.